UGUGUGGAAGGGAGGCCGGCUCUGAGCUGUGUCUCUGUAGCUGGGAAGAGACAGCAUUGGGGCGGGGCAGAGGUGACUCUCGGCAAGAAGGUGACGCUCCAGCAGGCUGUGACAAUGGGAAGGCGGAAGGUGGCCUUGGAGUGACACAGGGUGGCUCAGGCAUCAAAGGGGGGAGUGUGGCAGUCGUGACACUGAAUGUGGGGUUUGCCCGGCAGGUUGUGGGGAGCCCCAGGGAGCUUCUGAGCUGAGUCCCCAGCAUCUGCGAGUUCGAUUGUGUGGACGGGGUGAUUCGCUCUCUUCAAGGACUCUGGCCUGGCCUGGUGGCACGCGCUCACUGUCCCGGCUUCCCCGGCGGAGCGUCAAGUCCCUUUCUCUGCCCGCUCUGUGUCCUCCCUUCUUUGCUGUACGCCGGCCUGCGCUGGUCCUGGCCCAGAGGAAGGAGCUGGCCCGCCGCGUGGACGCUGGAAUACAGGAACUCGGCUCUUCCGCAAGUAGCAUCUACGAUGCCAGUCUCAGCAACCUCAUUUAAAAAACUAUUUAUAUGCACAAAAAGUCUAUAAUAGCGUUUUUAUUGUGUGUGCCUGAGAUUUGGGUGCAUUUCCCCCCACGCCU
This 612-nucleotide long non-coding RNA is filed under the name Chinchilla lanigera (long-tailed chinchilla). Its description in RNAcentral is "lncRNA (ENSCLAG00000024984.1)". Lineage: Eukaryota; Metazoa; Chordata; Mammalia; Rodentia; Chinchillidae. The record is from RNAcentral.